UGGAGAUGGAAGACCAGGCCGAGGUGUGUGUGUGUGUCCAUCUGUCCAUCUGCUGUGCUUUGGUGAAGCACAGGCCAUGCUGAGCAUGAUGCCCUGGAAUUGCCAAAGAACAGUUCAAGGACAGCCAGACCAGGGAGGGCACCCGGAAGGAGGCUGUGCCUGGAGCCACUGCUUCCACAGCUGCCUGUCUCAUUUAGAGAGGACUCCCAAAUUGGGAAAUAUAAAAUAACUAAAGGAUUGCCUGGGACAUUUGGCAUCCCAGCGGCCAGUCCUCAGCGAUUGUGUCCUGACUGGUCUUUGAUUCUGAAAUAAACCCCAUCAAGAAGGCACGACCAGAGUUCUAGCCCUGUUUCGGCCAUGAUGUGGCUGUGACCUUGGGCAAGUUGCUUUUCCUCUGUCUGCCUCAGAGGUUCAGGCAGGUCCUUUCAUCUGGCUUUUGUGAUGUGGUCUGUGUGGCCAGUUGGAAGCAGGGCCUUGGUAAUGAUGUGGAAACUAGAGCUCUUUAAAGAGUGCAGGGGUCCUGAGACACCAGGGCCUCUUGGACACCUGACCGCCCCGCCCCCCAAGGCCGAUGAUAUUAAAGGGCUGUAAACAUCCCCCUGUGCACAUGGACACAGGGUUGUAUACAAGAAGUGGGACUCUUGAAUUCCUCCUUUCAUCUCUCUUGCCUGGGGCCCAGUUCACCUGGAGGGUCACCCAGCCUUCAGUCUAAUAGUUUACCCACCCAUGCAGUGCCCCCAUUCAUCCUUCAGCUAUAGCAGGGUGAGCUUCUUAGGCACAGCCAGGGCGGCCCCAGUGAGGAAAUCUUGCUUUGCUCCUUACUGGCCCUGGAAUUACUUCCACACUCCUUAGAACAGCCAAGAAGGUUGGCCUCUCCAGCUCCAUUCUCCACCUCCUCAUUCCUCUCUGUUUAAAGUAGAGCUUAAGAAACAAAAAAAAAACAAACCCAGUGCCAUCGAGUCGAUUCCGACUCGUAGCGACUGUAUAGGACAGAGUAGAACUACCCCCAUAGAGUUUCCAAGGAGCGCCUGGCGGAUUCGAACUGCUGACCCUUUGGUUAGCAGCUAUAGCACUUAACCAGUACGCCACCAGGAUUUAGUAAUUUUAAAAGCAGAGGCUCAGGAAUCAGGCAACUGGCUUCAAAUCCUGAGUCUGUCACUUCCUAGCUAUAUGACCUUAGGCAAGUUACUACAUAUCACUAAACCUUGGUUUCUUCAUCCUUAAAAAAGGGGAAACACCCUUUCUGUAGAACAUUGUGAAGGUUAAAUGAGUCACUUAACAUAGUUCCUGGAACAUAGUAAAUUUAUUAUUAUAAUUCUUAACGCACAUUUGCCUAUCACCUCCUACUUCCUCAAGCUUGUCACACCCUUUCCCAACUCUGUGCCUCCUCAUACCGGGAAAGCCCUUUUCCUUCCCAUUUCUUCACCCAGUAGGCUCCUACAUACCCUUUAAGGCCAUAUUCAAAUAUUGUUGCUUCUUGAAGAUUUUUUUGUCCCCGUCCCCAGUAGAGUUAAACCUUUACAUAUAAAGCAAUCUAGUACCUUCCUGUCUUCUGGUCGUUAAGGUUGUGUGUCAACUUGGCUGGGCUAUGAUUCUCAGUGGUUUGGCAGUUAUGAUGUAGUUUGGUGGUCAUAUGAUGAUGUGAUCACAUCCAUGGUGAGAAUUGAUAUAAUGUGAUCACCUUUGUGGUGGGAUCUGCUGUGAGUAGCCAGUCAGUUGAAAGGGAGUUUCCUUGGGGGGUGUGGCCUGCAUCUAAUAUAGGUGGACCAUCUGGCAAGGUUCCCAGGCUUUUGUUCCUUUUGGAUCCUGCAGCUGGCUCCUAUUCAUCUGGCCUCCGGUUCUUGGGACUUCAGCCAGCAGUUUACCUGUGGUCUUGCCUGCUGAUCUUGGGAUUUGUCAGUCUUCACAGCCUGUGAGCAAGAGCCGUGCUGUCUGACCCACCGAUCUUGGGUUCGCCAGCCCCUGUGGCUACAUGAAUCAGGAGAAGCCUCCAGCCUGACCCACAGACUUGGGAUGUUCCAGCCUCUACAGCCACGUGCUGUUGAGUCACUUCCAACUUAUAGUGACCCUAUGUACAACAGAAUGAAACAUUGCCUGGUCCUGCACCAUCCUCACAAUUGUUGCUGAGUUUGAGCCCAAUCGUUGCUACACUGCAGCCUCAGCAAAGACCAAUGAGGAGUCUCCCUAUUUUACAGAAGAGGAAAUGGAGGCACAGAGAAGUUUCGUGGCUUGCUCAAGCUCACACAACAAGGAGGUUGCAGAACUGGCAUUGCACCUAGGUAGCCUGGCUGGGAGCCCAGGCCCUUCUCUCCUAUGCUGUACUGACUCACUACACUGCACCAUGCUGCUGAUGAAAGAGCUCUCUAAGCAAUGGCAUUCAUUGGUCAGAUGAGCAGCCCUGAGAGGUGUUGAAGCCCCUGUUCAGAGUGCUUCACCAGGAAUCAGGGUGAUCACAGCUGGGGAAUGUUUAGAGGGCAGUCAGGCAGAGGGCUGGGUCAAGCGUCUUCAAAAGCCCUUUCCAACUCAGAGAUUCUAGAAUUUGAUGAAAUCUCUCAAAGCUUCCAGCCUUUCAGCUAAAGAUAAUGGUGAGACCUCCUCUUGGCUUAGGCUUUCAGAUUGGACAUCCUCUCCCAGCCUGCCCCUGCCUGUCUGCUGUCCUCUCCAUGCGGCACUGGGCUGUGUGAGCUGGGGAAAUGGGUGGCUGUGAAUGGAUCAUCCUGGAAAUCUGACAGCGUGGUCCCCAGCCUGGGGACUGGGGAGGAGGGACAAUAGAAUGCUAAAUUACAGGGUGUCUGCUGCCUGAUUAAAUCAGUGCACCGUGAUCAGCGCUGUAGAGACUCAAUGCCAGAUUCGCUCCUGGGCACAAGGCCCAGAUAUUAGUCACAGAUGCACAGUCAGAGUUUGAAGGGCUCUCAGCAGGCACCUCAUCUAACUACUUCAUUUCGCGUAUGAGGAAACAAGGCCCAGAGAGGGAAGCAACUUGCAGAGGGCACACAGCAUUUAUUCCACAAUUAUUGUGUAUCUUCUGUGCCAAACAGUAGCUUGGCACUGAGGAUACUAAGGGUAGCAAGACAGCCAUGAUCUUUAGUCUCGCCGAGAUUACAUAUUAGUGGAGGAAAUGAGCAAAAAGCAGGUAGUCACAUAAAAUCAGAGAUUGUGAUCUGGGCUAUGAAGAGCACAGAGCAAGGGAGGCCUCUCUGAGAAGGGACCAUUUAAGUUGAAGCUUGAAGGAUGAGAAGUUUGUGGUAUGUGUGUGGUGGGAAGAGGGGAAGGGUUCCAGACAGCAGGAAUGCUAUGCCCUAGGGCCCCCAGGCUGGAAUGAGCUUUGUGUGUUUGAGGGGCUAGCAUAUGGCAGGGAAGGGAGGUCAGGAGGUAGAGGGAGUCUGGAGCACACAGGGUCUUCUGGGCUGACAUGAGAGGUUUGGAAUUUAUUCUUGCUACAAUAGAAAGCUGUUAGAGGGUUUGAUGCAAAAGAGUGGCAGAGGUGCUGGCACACCUCCUGCUUUUCCCUUUGAGGGUCUCCCUGGGAGGCUGGCAGAAAACACACCAAGCAAUGCUACCCACAGAAGACGGGCCUGCUUUUCCUUGCCUCUAGCAAUCUCUAUGCACUUUACGAACAUUAGGUAAAACGGGGCUACUCAUGUUCAUUUGAAGUCUCUUCUUCCUAUCAUGUACGGCGAACAGACCUUGAGACCCAAGUGCUGUGGGACCAGGGUCAGAUUACUCAGUAAGCAAGGUAAGCACAGGCUUACUUGUGCUUACUUUCCAAUCCCUAGUGAACAAUCUCACAUGUUUUUAACCAU
Loxodonta africana (African savanna elephant) is the source of this 3803-nucleotide long non-coding RNA. RefSeq lists it as uncharacterized. The transcript is spliced from 3 exons. The record is from RefSeq and is a predicted model, not a curated record. Lineage: Eukaryota; Metazoa; Chordata; Mammalia; Proboscidea; Elephantidae.